Molecule: ribosomal RNA, 484 nt
Filed under: uncultured bacterium
Lineage: Bacteria
Description: partial 16S ribosomal RNA
Rfam family: Bacterial small subunit ribosomal RNA
Source: RNAcentral
AUUGAACGCUGGCGGCAGGCCUAACACAUGCAAGUCGAGCGGAUGAAGGGAGCUUGCUCCUGGAUUCAGCGGCGGACGGGUGAGUAAUGCCUAGGAAUCUGCCUGGUAGUGGGGGAUAACGUCCGGAAACGGGCGCUAAUACCGCAUACGUCCUGAGGGAGAAAGUGGGGGAUCUUCGGACCUCACGCUAUCAGAUGAGCCUAGGUCAGAUUAGCUAGUUGGUGGGGUAAAGGCCUACCAAGGCGACGAUCCGUAACUGGUCUGAGAGGAUGAUCAGUCACACUGGAACUGAGACACGGUCCAGACUCCUACGGGAGGCAGCAGUGGGGAAUAUUGGACGAUGGGCGAAAGCCUGAUCCAGCCAUGCCGCGUGUGUGAAGAAGGUCUUCGGAUUGUAAAGCACUUUAAGUUGGGAGGAAGGGCAGUAAGUUAAUACCUUGCUGUUUUGACGUUACCAACAGAAUAAGCACCGGCUAACUUCGUG